GACAAGAAGCCCUUCCUAGGAAUUCUGUUAAUCCUGUUUGCCCUAUUUCACUUUCAGCAGUUAAUAGGAGGGAUACUUACGGUAGAGAUGAUUCAAAGAAUAUGUCAAAUACUCAAAGUGUAGAGGAUACAAACCCACACCAGAUGAAGGAGUAUUUGCUGGAGUAAGUGGAACAGAAAGCACUGAAAAAAAUGGGGAAGAAGGAAAUGCGAAGACCAACGUCCUUUCACAGUUUACUGAAACAGAAGUAGUUCAGGCUAAGAAAGUAAGAUUACACUCUCCAGAGACAAGCCAAAAGGCAGCCUCUUAUUACAAUAGCAACAAACCCAGGCUUUCAUCUACAUCACAAUCCAGUCAGGCAUCAGAACAGCAAACACCCAAGAAAUCAGGUGAGAAUUUAAUAAUAUUUUAUAAAAACAGUGGAGUAUUUUCCAGACAUACACGAAGAAAGCUUUUUGUAAUACAUGAGGGAAAGUUUAGAAAAAUACAUGUAGCAUGUAAAGCGUAUACUGUAGUGAGUUCCAAAUACUUGAAAUAUUUCCAGAACUUCAGUACUGUAUUUUACAGCACAUACUUACUCUGUUUUGUUUAUCGUACAUUCAUCAGUAUUUCCAGCCUUGUGGUUAAGGGGAUGCAAGAUCAUAACUGAGAGCUUAAAAUAAUAUUACAUUGAUCUUUAGUUAACUGUGUUAUGUCAGUGAUAGUUUAAAAUGACACUGAAUUCGUCCUCAGUUAACUCUUUUACGUACCACAGAUCAAAGAAGAAAACCUGGCUCUCUGUAUAUUUGCCACACAGAUAUCCACUUUUAUUUUAUAGACUGUAUCCUCGUCAGGCACAAAUCAGCAUGGGUUCUGAUUCUGCUGGUACAUUUGGUUUUAGCUGUAAUACAGAAACAAACCUAUUUCUAUGAGAGUAAGGUUCUAGUCUCCUCUGGUAGUUGUAUUCUCUUUUGCCUGUAUGUACUGCUUGCUGUUUAGCAUUUUCAUCCCAUGUCUAUGACUUGCAUUUAUCUUGUAGCCUUGCCAUCACAGUAGAGACUGUCCAGCUGAUAACUCAUCAUAAGCCCCGAGUAUUUUUCAUUUGCUGCUUUUUUGUAAAGCUGGCAGUCAUCUUUUGUACACUGGCUCUUUCUGGAACCAGAGAAUCGUAGCACUCAAGACUAACUGAAACCAAAACCUGUUGUUCAGAUGGGAUCCCUGCUCUCUUAAAACUUUUAAAUAUAAUACAUCUGGACAGAUGAUUCAAAAAUGUUUAUCCUCAUAUCAUUUGGCAUCCUCCUUAACUUGUGUUGAAAUGAAAAAAAAAGUGUCAUUAGAUGAUAGGAAUUUCUUGUGUAGCUUUGCCUUGAU
This 1350-nucleotide long non-coding RNA is filed under the name Calidris pygmaea (Spoon-billed sandpiper). RNAcentral's name for it is "lncRNA (ENSCPGG00000016369.1)". Lineage: Eukaryota; Metazoa; Chordata; Aves; Charadriiformes; Scolopacidae. The record is from RNAcentral.